UAAUACGUAGGGACCAAGCGUUGUUCGGAUUUACUGGGCGUAAAGGGCGCGUAGGCGGCGUAAUAAGUCACUUGUGAAAUCUCCGGGCUUAACUCGGAGCGGCCAAGUGAUACUGUUAGGCUAGAGUGCAGAAAGGGCAAUCGGAAUUCUUGGUGUAGCGGUGAAAUGCGUAGAUAUCAAGAGGAACACCUGAGGCGAAGGCGGGUUGCUAGGCUGACACUGACGCUGAGGCGCGAAAGCCAGGGUAGCAAACGGGAUUAGAUACCCCGGUAGUCCUGGCCCUAAACGAUGAAUGCUUGGUGUCUGGAGUAUUUAGUCUCCGGGUGCCGGCGCUAACGCAUUAAGCAUUCCGCCUGGGGAGUACGCACGCAAGUGUG
RNAcentral lists this ribosomal RNA (377 nucleotides) under uncultured bacterium. Its description in RNAcentral is "bacterial SSU rRNA". It matches the Rfam family "Bacterial small subunit ribosomal RNA", at positions 521 to 896 of the family's 1533-position model. The record is from RNAcentral.